Molecule: ribosomal RNA, 469 nt
Filed under: uncultured bacterium
Lineage: Bacteria
Description: partial 16S ribosomal RNA
Rfam family: Bacterial small subunit ribosomal RNA
Source: RNAcentral
GGAUGAACGCUGGCGGCGUGCUUAACCCAUGCAAGUCGAACGGUGAAGGCGGAGCUUGCUCUGCUGGAUCAGUGGCGAACGGGUGAGUAACACGUGAGCAAUCUGCCCCUGACUCUGGGAUAAGCGCUGGAAACGGCGUCUAAUACUGGAUACGAGCUGCGAAGGCAUCUUCAGCAGCUGGAAAGAAUUUCGGUCAGGGAUGAGCGCGCGGCCUAUCAGCUUGUUGGUGAGGUAAUGGCUCACCAAGGCGUCGACGGGUAGCCGGCCUGAGAGGGUGACCGGCCACACUGGGACUGAGACACGGCCCAGACUCCAACGGGAGGCAGCAGUGGGGAAUAUUGCACAAUGGGCGGAAGCCUGAUGCAGCAACGCCGCGUGGGGGACGACGGCCUUCGGGUUGUAAACCUCUUUUAGCAGGGAAGAAGCGAAAGUGACGGUACCUGCAGAAAAAGCGCCGGCUAACUACGUG